UUGACCUCGGAUCAGGCAGGGAUACCCGCUGAACUUAA
RNAcentral lists this ribosomal RNA (38 nucleotides) under Cenococcum geophilum. RNAcentral's name for it is "partial 28S ribosomal RNA". The record is from RNAcentral. RNAcentral also lists the same sequence under 2 other names. Lineage: Eukaryota; Fungi; Ascomycota; Dothideomycetes; Gloniales; Gloniaceae.